UACGUAGGUGGCAAGCGUUGUCCGGAAUUACUGGGCGUAAAGGGCGUGUAGGCGGCCUUUUAAGUCAGACGUGAAAACCCUGGGCUUAACCCAGGAACUGCGUUUGAAACUGGAAGGCUUGAGGACCGGAGAGGGUAGUGGAAUUCCCAGUGUAGCGGUGAAAUGCGUAGAUAUUGGGAGGAACACCAGUGGCGAAGGCGACUGCCUGGACGGCACCUGACGCUGAGGCGCGAAAGCGUGGGGAGCAAACAGG
This 253-nucleotide ribosomal RNA is filed under the name uncultured bacterium. RNAcentral's name for it is "partial 16S ribosomal RNA". It matches the Rfam family "Bacterial small subunit ribosomal RNA", at positions 524 to 776 of the family's 1533-position model. The record is from RNAcentral.